UAAGCCUGGUUCAUACUGUUGUUCUUUAGUGUCUCUAAGCCAGGUUCAUACUGUUGCUAUUCAGUGUCUCUAAGCCAGGUUCAUACUGUUGUUCUUUAGUGUCUCUAAGCCAGGUUCAUACUGUUGCUAUUCAGUGUCUCUAAGCCAGGUUCAUACUGUUGCUAUGUAGUGUCUCUAAGCAAGGUACAUACUGUUCCUAUUCAGUGUCUCUAAGCUAGGUUUAUACUGUUGCUAUUUAGUGUCUCUAAGCCAGGUUCAUACUGAUGUUCUUUAGUGUCUCUAAGCAAGGUUCAUACUGUUGCUAUUAAGUGUCUCUAAGCAAGGUACGUACUGUUGCUAUUCAUUGUCUCUAAGCCAGGUUCAUACUGUUGUUCUUUAGUGUCUCUAAGCAAGGUUCAUACUGUUGUUCUUUAGUGUCUCUAAGCCAGGUUCAUACUGUUGUUCUUUAGUGUCUCUAAGCCAGGUUCAUACUGUUGCUAUUCAGUGUCUCUAAGCCAGGUUCAUACUGUUGCUAUUUAGUGUCUCUAAGCAAGGUACAUACUGUUGCUAUUCAGUGUCUCUAAGCCAGGUUUAUACUGUUGCUAUUUAGUGUCUCUAAGCAAGGUUCAUACUGUUGUUCUUUAGUGUCUCUAAGCAAGGUUCAUACUGUUGCUAUUUAGUGUCUCUAAGCAAGGUACCCCGGUACGUACUGUUGCUAUUCAGUGUCUCUGAGCCAGGUUCAUACUAUUGCUAUUUAGUGUCUCUAAGCCAGGUUCAUACUGUUGCUAUUUAGUGUCUCUAAGCCAGGUACAUACUGUUGUUCUUUAGUGUCUCUAAGCCAGGUUCAUACUGUUGUUAUUUAGUGUCUCUAAGCCAGGUUCAUGCUGUUGCUAUUUAGUGUCUCUAAGCCAGAUUCAUGCUGUUGCUAUUUAGUGUCUCUAAGCCAGGUACAUACUGUUGUUCUUUAGUGUCUCUAAGUCAGGUUCAUACUGUUGCUAUUUAGUGUCUCUAAGCAAGGUACGUACUGUUCCUAUUCAGUGUCUCUAAGCCAGGUUCAUACUGUUGUUAUUUAGUGUCUCUAAGCAAGGUUCAUACUGUUGUUCUUUAGUGUGUCUGAGCAGGGUUCAUAAUGUUGCUAUUUAGUGUCUCUAAGCAAGGUUCAUACUGUUGCUAUUCAGUGUCUCUAAGCCAGGUUCAUACUGUUGCUAUUUAGUGUCUCUAAGCAAGGUACGUACUGUUGCUAUUCAGUGUCUCUAAGCCUGGUUCAUACUGUUGUUAUUCAGUGUCUUUAAUCAAGGUGCGUACUGUUGCUAUUCAGUGUCUCUAAGCCAGGUUCAUACUGUUGCUAUUCAGUGUCUCUAAGCCAGGUUCAUACUGUUGCUAUUCAGUGUCUCUAAGCCAGGUACAUACUGUUGUUCUUUAGUGUCUCUAAGCCAGGUUCAUACUGUUGUUAUUUAGUGUCUC
Molecule: long non-coding RNA, 1443 nt
Organism: Dreissena polymorpha
Lineage: Eukaryota; Metazoa; Mollusca; Bivalvia; Myida; Dreissenidae
Exons: 3
Source: RefSeq, a predicted model, not a curated record